RNAcentral lists this non-coding RNA (26 nucleotides) under Homo sapiens (human). The record is from RNAcentral. Lineage: Eukaryota; Metazoa; Chordata; Mammalia; Primates; Hominidae.
UCCAGAGUCUAUGGAGGGUGCAGUUC